UUGACAGACAUGAAUCAUGGAAUUGUUUUGCUUUUCUCUUAGUCACCCACAGGAUCCUCAACCCUCAGCACAAGUACUCAUUCUUUCACUCUCUUCAGCUGACCAUGAGACAGAGCAGUGCAAAAUCAAUAGGCAUCGGCUAGCAAAAGAUUUAGCAUAGAUGCUAAGGCAAACGGAUUGUCCAAGACGCCCUGGAAAAACAAUACAGUGAUGAGGAUGAAAACUAAAAUGAGACAGACUUGUGCACUUCCAUAAGUAUUGAAGCCCAUCUCAGUCAGAGGGAGGACCACCAGCCAUACCUACUGCUCUUGAGAAGGAUCAAAGGUAGGAUCACCUUAUUCUAUGUGGUUGGACAAGCUUCUCAUCUCUUCUGAAGGAACCAGCUCCUUGAGUACUAUUGAACUCUUAAGUCCACUAUGUUUUCAACCUGUUGUAUGAGUAGGUCCUUUUCAAUGUUUUUAUCUUUCUUCUACACUGUACAACAUUGAUGUUGGUUAUACCAGUGAGUUGCCAAGAGUAAAGAAAUUGCAUGCAAAUCAUUGACAAACUUUUGACAACAUUUUUCAGAGCAUAUUUUAAGUUGAGAGUACUUCUAACAGCCAGCG
Onychostoma macrolepis is the source of this 605-nucleotide long non-coding RNA. RefSeq lists it as uncharacterized. The transcript is spliced from 3 exons. Lineage: Eukaryota; Metazoa; Chordata; Actinopteri; Cypriniformes; Cyprinidae. The record is from RefSeq and is a predicted model, not a curated record.